AAGGAUCAUUAUCCAUCUCAAUCAGGUGCGGUUGCGGCCACUUGGGGGUUACCUCAGUUGGUUAAACCAUGGUGAAAGCCGUGGGGACGCGCCGCAUUCCUGCAUCCUUUUUUUACGAGCACCUCUGUUCUCCUUCGGCGGGGCAACCCGCCGCUGGAACUUUAUAAACCUUUUUUUGCAUCUAGCAUUACCUGUUCUGAUACAAACAAUCGUUACAACUUUCAACAAUGGAUCUCUUGGCUCUGGCAUCGAUGAAGAACGCAGCGAAAUGCGAUAAGUAGUGUGAAUUGCAGAAUUCAGUGAAUCAUCGAAUCUUUGAACGCACAUUGCGCCCCUUGGUAUUCCAUGGGGCAUGCCUGUUCGAGCGUCAUCUACACCCUCAAGCUCUGCUUGGUGUUGGGCGUCUGUCCCGCCUCUGCGUGCGGACUCGCCCCAAAUUCAUUGGCAGCGGUUUUUGCCUCCUCUCGCGCAGCACAUUUGCGUCUGUUAGGGGGCGUGGCCCGCGUCCACGAAGCAACAUUACCGUCUUUGACCUCGGAUCAGGUAGGGAUACCCGCUGAACUUAA
RNAcentral lists this ribosomal RNA (566 nucleotides) under Ascochyta maackiae. RNAcentral describes it as "eukaryotic LSU rRNA". The stretch from base 217 to 370 matches the Rfam family "5.8S ribosomal RNA". Lineage: Eukaryota; Fungi; Ascomycota; Dothideomycetes; Pleosporales; Didymellaceae. The record is from RNAcentral.